GAGCGAGUCUCAUAAAGCCGGAACUUUUGCAGAUAAAAGCCUCUGCUGUUUUCAUGUGAAUUGAUUAAACGCCGUUGCUUGUCAUCUGUCCCCAUGCUUCGCAGCUGUUCCAAACAUAAACAGAAUUCUUCUUUUAUCCCACAUAAACUUUAGAAUCAUAAUCACAAGCAAAAACAAAACAAAACAAAAACAAAAACUUGAAAUUAAGACUGAUAAAUCAAAAACAGAAAAGAGCAUAGGGAGAAAGAGAUCAACCAAGUAAAAGAGUGAAUUCUCGCCGACGGUGGAGGAGAGUGGUGAAUGGCGGGGUUUACAGAUCGGACAAGGAACAGCUCCGGCGACUAUGUCCACAUAAUAAAAUGGGUAUAUAUAUUUAGUUGGAAAAAAGAGUGUUCAAUUUUUUGUACAGCUAAGCGUAAAAAGGAACUUUUCAAAAUUGAGCCGUAUAAUAAUUCAAUCAUCAUCAUGCUGUCGUUAAUUUUCCUGCUUCUGAAUUUUAC
Molecule: long non-coding RNA, 500 nt
Filed under: Nicotiana tabacum (common tobacco)
Lineage: Eukaryota; Viridiplantae; Streptophyta; Magnoliopsida; Solanales; Solanaceae
Description: long non-coding RNA (NTAB_LNC015600)
Source: RNAcentral